Molecule: long non-coding RNA, 725 nt
Organism: Amphiprion ocellaris (clown anemonefish)
Lineage: Eukaryota; Metazoa; Chordata; Actinopteri; Pomacentridae
Source: Ensembl
CAUCAAGUGGUCCGAAUGGAGACAGGGACCAGAAAGGGGAGCUGGGAUGCAGCAGUUGUCGGCCAAAAAGAGCCCCCAUUUUGACCCGCUGCAUUCCGUGAUUCCAGCCGGGUCCCUGAACGCCACAUCGGAGCUGGAGUUGAUGCAGGCCGCCAUACAGACCACUGAUCCUGAUCCUGUUGUCGGCCUUGGAGGAUGAGGUCCAGUUACCAGAAUCACUACUCUGCAGCUCACUGGUCCCGUCCUGCAGCUCAUUCAUGCCAUCCUCCUCUUAACAGACCAAAUCAAGAAAAAGGAAGUGGGAUGCUGCUGUAGAUCUGCUGCAGUAUCUGGAGAGGUCAGAGGAACGGUUCUUGGAACAGAUCAGAAGACACCAAGACCUGACCACUGCCAUGCUCCAGAAUAUCCAGGGACCAAGACCUGACCACUGCCAUGCUCCAGAAUAUCCAGGGACCAAGACCUGACCACUGCCAUGCUCCAGAAUAUCCAGGGACCAAGACCUGACCACUGCCAUGCUCCAGAACAUUCAGAAGACGGAUGAAAAUUCAAACACCUUGGUUGGACUGAUGGGACGUACGGUGUCAGUGCUGGAGCAACUGUCCCAGAAAUAAACUGCAUUGUCCACUACUUCUGCCUUUUCUAGAAAAAAAAAUCUUUUUUUGUAAAUUCUUUUCCUUCUUAGCUAUUUAAGUUCACUUGUAUUUUACUCUUGCACUUUGGGUGAA